UUUUUACUUUUUGCCAUCACUGGAUUCGUCACGGGCACAGAGAAGGGGUGAACAUAGUACUUCUCUCCACAGCCAACUCAUAGGCCAGGAAACAUUGCCUACAGUGUAUAUUGUAUCGGAUAGUCAGAUUUAAAAAUAACGUUUUGCCAUGGUCGUACAAUCAGGUACAUGGAGUACAUUAGUUGCUUAGGUUUCGUAAUACACGGUUCCCAUGAUGUAUGCCAACAGAGCUCCCGAUUGACUGACGAUGUUCAAAUAUAUGAGUACUCUCAUAUGAUGGUUACCUGCAACUCUAACUAUGAAAACUAGAAGUGAGUUGUUUCCAUCGUUUUCCUAUAAAAUUAUUAAUGUGAUUGCUUUCCUCUCUAUUUUUUUGUGGAAGACAUAUAGGGUUGUGCCAUAAUUAUAUUAUAGGCAUGAACAAAAUAAGUGUUUCUCGAAGACAUGAACAAAAUAAGUUAUAUUUGCUCCAAACUUGCAAAUUUGUUAUUGGAGUUUUAUAUUUGUUCCAGUUGACACUAAAACAUACUUGCAUUAGUUAUGCCAUUUUUAUGAGGUUGUAUGCAGCAAACAACAUGUUGCAGUCAUUUUUCUAUAUCCAGUCUGCAUAGAAACACACGAUAUGCACUCUCUUUACAAGCGGGCAAUGCAGGAUCUCACUGUUAGUAUAAGAAGCCGAUUCACUAUUCUAACUUUGUUUUUUUACUGCAGUUACAUACUUUGUUCAUAAGAUUGCUGUUAUAUUCUGAGCACAAUCUUUGAUGUUUUUUGUUUCCCUUGUGCUUAGGCUCACAAUCUGGGCACACAUAUUUUCAUCUAGUAUAUUUUUUCAUUGUUAACUAUUGCAUGUGAUUUUUCGUAGGGCUAAGGUGACAAAAAAUUCUUUGGUGGAAGCUGGAAUAUUCUCUUGAGUCGUGUAAGUUCAGUAGGUAUCUUUCCAACUCACUGACUAAAUAAAAUGAUGUCCACAAGUUGUUUUUCUAUUUCUUGGAGUUGCUUCCCUUGAUUUGAGAAAUAGUUAUCUGUCCGCUUGGGAUCGGGAAGGGAUAGUGUGUCGAUGGCUUAGCUCCCUUUCUCUAUAGUCCUUGGAGCCCAGAUAUGGAGGAGUUUAGAGGAUAUGUAAUCAAGCCUUGCUGCCCCUUUGCCUUUUGUUUUGUUUGAUUUGAGAAUAGAAUCAUCGGUGAUAUGUAUUUUAGAUUUAGCCCAUUGCAAAGAGUAUGGGAUGCGUGAGGCAUGAAGUUUCAAAGCUUUUUAGGGCUAUCCUCUUCUCCUAUUGUAAAUUAUCUGACUUUCUUGUCCUAUCUUAACUUUAUUUGAAUUAUACUUUGUAAGAAAUUAUAUGAAAUGUGAAACUUAUUUGGUGUGUUCAUGAUUCCUGUUAUGAAUAUUUAUUUUUCAAAAAUUCUCCACUUUUAUAUGCCGGCAGAUAAUCUAUUCUGCAUGCCCAUUUCAAUCUCUGUUUUAACUACUCUUAUGUACACAUAUAAAUUGUGAAAAACUGGGAGAAGUUUGAUUAUUCUAGGUUGAGUACAUGGUCUAAUCAUAUGCACAGGCUUGACUUUCUGUCAUGAAUCUGAGAGGGUACUGAUGGUGUGCACCGGAGGCAACUAAAGACAAUGAUGCAGAACUGAACACUACAAGUAUUGGGCCACUCUCACUGCCUAUGAUAAAUUGAUUAAUUCCACAACGCUGGUGGAGGCCUCCUCGAGCUUUGUAAUAAACUCUAUGCCAUCUGUGUUACCAUCAAGAGAAGGUAUAUGCUCGAAGAAGCUAUCAAACUGAUCGACGGUACAAUUCAUGCAUUCGAACUUGCUGGUGCUGAUGAUGCCAUAGUAAUGGCAUCAGUGAAAAUCGAUCUCUGCCCCCACAACAAAAGCAUAUUACCGACUCAACAUGAAUAUUAUGGAGAAUCAACUCAGCUUGCCAGCGAUGCUAUUGAGUCAACAUGUUCUGCUGCUUUAGCCUAUCUACUGACCAUGGGCAUAAUUACAAGAGAUGAUCCCAACUUGGUGGAGCUCAAGAAAUGACAAAGACAACUCAAAGCUAAGUAGGUCAUCAGUGUUAUAUGGUCGUGCGCAAUCCUUUCAGAAUCAGCUCGCCUCUUUGACCAUGAGAACACUCCAGCAACUAAAAGUGUCAACAAAUUAGAGGUAAUCACAGUAUUGGUCAGCUUUUCACUUGCAUUACUUGCAUACAAAUGAACAUUAACCUCUAGGAUGGCCUUACUGAAACUGCGGGCUCACAGCCACCAAACGAGUAACAUACCCUCCCUCCCACUCUUCAGACUUUUACAACUAUAUACAUUACUCAUGUUUGUUGCUUUCCCAGUGAAACAGACCACAGGUCCAAAACAAAGUCCCAGCCUACUACCCGCAGGACUUUAGUCUUUAAAGACUAAAUGCACGGAUCGCAUCUAUCGACUAUCACUGUGAAUCUCAAAAGACACGCUUCAUUCUUAUGCCUCUUAUAAGCCCGUUGCCAUAUGCACACGCUUCAUUCUUAUGCCUCUUAUAAGCCCGUUGCCAUAUGCACUUCGCCUUUAUUUGGACUAGACGCGGUAUGUAAUGACGAAUCACGUCGACCUCCGUCUAAAUGCAUGGAACUUGGCACUGAAUUAUCUGAACUGCUGCCCAGGAUUCAAUUCAUACUUUAUUUACCUAUAAUAUGGUAUGUAAUGACAAGGAAGUCGAGGACCUUUUGUAGUUGCGUGAACCAACUGCUACGUACUAAAUAUGUAUAUAGCUUACUUUUGGAUUGAAACCUUUUGUUUUUUGCUGGACCAAUUGCUAUGUAUUGAAUGUGUAUGUAUCGAUGCAAUGUUUCUGAUCUAAACUUGAUAUAUUAGAUUGAUAAACACAACUACAUUAUCCUA
This is a long non-coding RNA of Triticum dicoccoides, 2872 nucleotides long. RefSeq lists it as uncharacterized. The record is from RefSeq and is a predicted model, not a curated record. Lineage: Eukaryota; Viridiplantae; Streptophyta; Magnoliopsida; Poales; Poaceae. The transcript has 6 exons.